AAAGAUUAAGCCAUGCAUGUGUAAGCACAUGCCUUAAAACGGUAAAGCCGCGAAUGGCUCGGUAUAACAGCCACUGUUUAUUAAACUCUAGUUAUCUACUUGGAUAACUGUGGCAAUUCUAGAGCUAAUACAUGCACGCAGGCUCGGACCUUUUGGGAAGAGCGCACUUAUUAGACCAAAACCAAUCGGGCUUCGGCCUGUGUUUUGGUGACUCUGAAUAACUAAGUCGAUCGCACAGUCUUAGUACUGGCGACGUAUUUUUCGAAUGUCUGCCUUAUCAACUUUCGAUGGUAGGUUAUACGCCUACCAUGGUUAUAACGGGUAACGGAGAAUUAGGGUUCGACUCCGGAGAGGGAGCCUGAGAAAUGGCUACCACAUCCAAGGAAGGCAGCAGGCGCGCAAAUUACCCAAUCCCAGAACGGGGAGGUAGUGACGAAAAAUAACGAGGUAAUCCACUUUGUGGCUUGCCAUCGGAAUGGGCACAAUAUAAAUCUUUUAACGAGGAUCUAUUAGAGGGCAAGUCUGGUGCCAGCAGCCGCGGUAAUUCCAGCUCUAAUAGUGUAUAUUAAAAUUGUUGUGGUUAAAACGCCCGUAGUUGGAUCUUCGGUCUUGAAGCUCGGUAGCCCGUAAGGGUUUAACUGAGUCUUCUGGCCUCGAUUCUAGUUUUCUCCUGAUGCUCUUUAUUGAGUGUCUUGAGUAGCUAGGAAUUUUACUUUGAAAAAAUUAGAGUGCUAAAAGCAGGCUAUACGCUUGAAUAAAGUGCAUGGAAUAAUGGAAUACGACUUUAGUCUUAUUUUGUUGGUUUUCGAGAUUAAAGUAAUGAUUAAGAGGAACAGCCGGGGGCAUUUGUAUUGUUGCGUUAGAGGUGAAAUUCUUGGAUCGCAGCAAGACAAACAACUGCGAAAGCAUUUGCCAAGAAUG
This 921-nucleotide ribosomal RNA is filed under the name Clarkus sp. PDL-2005. RNAcentral describes it as "SSU rRNA". It matches the Rfam family "Eukaryotic small subunit ribosomal RNA", at positions 39 to 966 of the family's 1831-position model. The record is from RNAcentral. Lineage: Eukaryota; Metazoa; Nematoda; Enoplea; Mononchida; Mononchidae.